Molecule: ribosomal RNA, 496 nt
Filed under: uncultured bacterium
Lineage: Bacteria
Description: partial 16S ribosomal RNA
Rfam family: Bacterial small subunit ribosomal RNA
Source: RNAcentral
AUGAACGCUGGCGGCGUGCCUCAUCCAUGCAAGUCGAGCGCACGGACGAGAAGCUUGCUUCUCUGAUGUUCGCGGCGGACGGGUGAGUAACACGUGGAUAACCUACCUAUAAGACUGGGAUAACUUCGGGAAACCGGAGCUAAUACCGGAUAAUAUUUUGAACCGCAUGGUUCAAAAGUGAAAGACGGUCUUGCUGUCACUUAUAGAUGGAUCCGCGCUGCAUUAGCUAGUUGGUAAGGUAACGGCUUACCAAGGCAACGAUGCAUAGCCGACCUGAGAGGGUGAUCGGCCACACUGGAACUGAGACACGGUCCAGACUCCUACGGGAGGCAGCAGUAGGGAAUCUUCCGCAAUGGGCGAAAGCCUGACGGAGCAACGCCGCGUGAGUGAUGAAGGUCUUCGGAUCGUAAAACUCUGUUAUUAGGGAAGAACAUAUGUGUAAGUAACUGUGCACAUCUUGACGGUACCUAAUCAGAAAGCCACGGCUAACUACGUG